Molecule: long non-coding RNA, 902 nt
Filed under: Triticum aestivum (bread wheat)
Lineage: Eukaryota; Viridiplantae; Streptophyta; Magnoliopsida; Poales; Poaceae
Description: long non-coding RNA (TAES_LNC026604)
Source: RNAcentral
AACAAGCGCACAAACAAGAUAAUCAUCGAAACAAUAUUAUGUUCUCAGCAAGGCUAUGUGCAUUCUUCUCAAGUCUGGGAUAUGCACGUACAGUGGUCUUAGAUCAAUUGAUAAUCACCAGAACUAACUACAAUACAUAGUCUGUGAAUCAAAAGUAAGAAAAUACCAGGAAGAUGAUUUGUGUAGUUGCAGGAGCUCAGGGGAAAGGAGAGUAGGUGGACCUGCUUGCUGGAGCUCCUUGACUGGCCAGUUGAACGUGCAGCCACAGCCGAGAGAGUGCUACUACCCUACAUGAGAGCAUGUUAAAUGGAAAAAACUCAAAUCCCUAACAAGAACUUUUUUUUGAAAGAUCCAUAAAAUCCAGAUCGGGAUAGGGGGACUAACAUGAACUCAUCCUUCACGCGAGCACCGCCGCUCGACAGCCUCCACAUCCGCCGGCUCGGCUCCCUCGGCGGCCGCUGUGCCCCACGCCAACAUGAGCGCCCAUCCAAAGGGAAAUAAAGAAGUAGACAACAAAACAAAGAGCGAUGUUAAUAUAACCACAUCAUUCAAUUCACAUGUCAAGAUACAAUAGGAAGUCUUUCCACCAAGCGGCUUGAUACAUACAAUUAAACUCAGGAAAAUAAUUUUCACCACUUAUAGAUAAUAAGCAGCUGUAAGGGGACAUGUAGACAACCGCAUACCUGUAUACAUGCAAAUAACUUCCAAAAUAAACGUAUGCCACAGGAAAAGUAAACUCCAACAUAUUACCAAAGAGACAAUAAAAGCUCUGAACCAAAAAAUCUAAGAAAUGCUCAAUUCAGUUUACUUAAUAGUUACGAAAUUAAUUAUUCUCGGUCAGGUGGUUCUGGUAUACUUAAGAAAACACUUGUAGACUUCAAGUACAGAUAAAUACUCAAGCU